Molecule: non-coding RNA, 1485 nt
Organism: Cicer arietinum (chickpea)
Lineage: Eukaryota; Viridiplantae; Streptophyta; Magnoliopsida; Fabales; Fabaceae
Source: RefSeq, a predicted model, not a curated record
UACCCAAACGAAAAUCCCUUACACAGUUUAGAUACUGAUUUUGACAUAGACUCAUGGACGACCCUAUCUACACCCCUUUCUCUCAAACAAAACUUUUGGAGUUUAUGUAAUUAUUAUUAUCUUUUUAACGAAGUCGUAUUUUUUUUAAGUAGGAAUUCAUUUUUUAGGAUUUACAUCGCUUGUGCUAGAUUGUAACCGCGAACAAGAAAAAUCGCUAACUUUUCAACAAUUUCAAAAUAUUAAAUGAUAAAUUACAUUUUGAAAGUUCUGUUCAUCCAAGUUUUUGAUUUUUUUUUUUAAAUUUAUAGAAACAUUACAUUUCAGAAGUUUUACAUUCAUCCAUAUUUUUAAAAUUAUUUUAAACUUUUUGAAAAUUUUGAUUUUCAAGUAAGAGGUAAAAUGGUAUUUUCAUGAGUUUUGAUUUGGAGUUUGGAAUUUUGAUUUGGAAUUUAGUGGUGAUUUUUGUUUAGAGCUUUUGUGUUGCACAUAAGGUGUUUGAGUUUUUUUGUUGCACUUAAGAAAUUGCAUGUAGAAUCCUUUGGAUUGAUGAUGUAUCUUCAAUUUGGAAAGAACUUACACAAUGACUCGCACAAGGUGAUUUUGUAAGAAUUUCUCAAAUUACUUCUGAUCUCUCCUCUUUGAGACAAGGUGAUUCUUCUAUAACCAUCACUUAUACCUCGGCCUAUAUUGUUGUAAUACCUUUAUUAAUGUCAAUGAAUAUCGUAAUCAUGAUUUGGUCUUGUAUUUUCUUUAGGGUGUGAAUGACAACUAUGUUAAUGUUAGGUCUCAAAUUCUUCUGUUAGAUCCCCUUCCUUCUUUAACUAAAGCAUAUUAUAUGGUCCUUCAACAUGGGAGACAACUGCAAAUUUGCUUAUUACUGGCUCCUACUGCCUUCGCAAUUGAUUCUCGAUCUUCCUAUAUCAAAUCCUUACAAGGCAAACAAAAACCUACCAACAAGAAUUUUGGUGGAAAAAACUCUAAUUCUAAAUUGUGCACAAAGUGCAAGAAAACAAUCAUACCGUUGACAAGUGUUACUUUCUUCAUGGAUUUCCCUUGUUUAUUAAACCACAAAGGCUGUUAGUCAGACUAAACCUCGACAUAUUGAGUCUUCCUCUCCAAUUUUAUCAAGAGAACAAAUUCAAGGACAAUUGGGUUUGCUUCUUUCCCAAACUUCUGGGUCUAAUACUCAAGUCUCAGCCCUAUUUACAAAUCACAAUAUUCACACUGAUUCAGGUUCCAUAUUCCAAGAGGCUGAUUAGGACAAGCCAUAUACACAGGAGACUUUAUGUUUUGGAUGACCAGUGAGUCUCAGAUACUACAACCUCAACAACUACUGCUAACUUAUUAUCUAGUUUUCGCUUGAAUUCUUCGUCUUCUAAUUUUUAUUUAUGGAAUUCUCCCUUUGGACAUGUGAUAGUGUUUCAACAAGUGUACUGAAUCGUUGCAAGUAAUAAUAAAAACAGUAGUACUGAGUGUCGAACUCAA